Molecule: transfer RNA, 71 nt
Filed under: Dipodomys ordii (Ord's kangaroo rat)
Lineage: Eukaryota; Metazoa; Chordata; Mammalia; Rodentia; Heteromyidae
Rfam family: tRNA
About the family: Transfer RNA (tRNA) molecules are approximately 80 nucleotides in length. Their secondary structure includes four short double-helical elements and three loops (D, anti-codon, and T loops).
Source: Rfam by way of RNAcentral
GGGAAUGUGACUUAGUGGUAGAGUGCUUGCCUGAUGUGCGUGAAGCCCCUGGGUUCGAUUCCUCAUUACCA